Molecule: ribosomal RNA, 461 nt
Filed under: uncultured bacterium
Lineage: Bacteria
Description: bacterial SSU rRNA
Rfam family: Bacterial small subunit ribosomal RNA
Source: RNAcentral
UGGAGGCAGCAGUGGGGAAUUGUUCACAAUGGGCGCAAGCCUGAUGACGCAACGCCGCGUGGGGGAUGAAGGUCUUCGGAUCGUAAACCCCUGUCGAAUGGGACGAAAGACCCAGGAGCUAAUCAUCCUGGGAGUGACGGUACCGUUAAAGGAAGCCACGGCUAACUCUGUGCCAGCAGCCGCGGUAAUACAGAGGUGGCAAGCGUUGUUCGGAAUUACUGGGCGUAAAGGGCGCGUAGGCGGCCUUCUAAGUCAGACGUGAAAUCCCCCGGCUUAACCUGGGAACUGCGUCUGAUACUGGAGGGCUUGAGUAUGGGAGAGGGAUGUAGAAUUCCAGGUGUAGCGGUGAAAUGCGUAGAUAUCUGGAGGAAUACCGGUGGCGAAGGCGGCAUCCUGGACCAUUACUGACGCUGAGGCGCGAAAGCUAGGGGAGCAAACGGGAUUAGAUACCCCUGUAGUCU